This is a non-coding RNA of Rattus norvegicus (Norway rat), 1766 nucleotides long. The record is from RefSeq and is a predicted model, not a curated record. NCBI's taxonomy places the organism in Eukaryota, Metazoa, Chordata, Mammalia, Rodentia, Muridae.
AGAGAGCUGCGGUAGCUACAGGUGUUUUAGGUCCCAGACUUGCCUCUGCCUUUUAUCUACAACACAGUAAACAAACUAUUUGUUUCUUUGAAGUUUAGCUCUUUCAUUUUUAAUGCGAAUAGUUCUCUCCCUUUCUGUUCUUCAAUUGUGAAUGAUAAUGGUGGCAGUGCAUGUGAAAGCACUUUUGAAACUUUAAAAGCUUUGAAUAAAUGCAAGGUCAUUUUGCUUGCCCGGGAUGCUAGGUGCUGUAAUCAGAAAAGGGUCUGUUCUGUUGACCUUCCACUAAAUUAGAGCACCUAAAACCUUAAGCCACAAACAUGUGCCAGCUCCAUCCUGGUUUAUCAACUUUUGAUAAAGAAUUUUCUAAGCUUAGAUGGAAGUUAAAUGAUGUCACCAGACCAUUAAACGAUGCCAGCUAUAUUCACUAAAAUUGUGUUAUAGAAAAGAAAGAUAUAGUAAAUAUAGAAUCUGUUCUAGUUUCCUUUCCGUUGGUGUGACAAAACAUCAUGACAAAAAAAGCAACAUAGGGAAGGAGAAGGUCCUGUCCCCGCCCACCAUUUUUUCCAAGACACAGCCUAUUGUUUCGGGGAAGUAAGAAAGGAACUCAGUAGCUAGUCACAUUGCAUCCACAAUGGAGAGCAAAUUCAUCUUUGCUUGCUUGCUUUCGGCUAACUUUCUCCUCUUUUCAAAUGUUCAGGAUCCCCUGCUUAGGGAAUGAUGCCACCCAUGGUGGGCUGGGUCUUCAAUCAACAACAACAACAACAACAACAACAACAAAAAGUCUUCCACAAACAUCCCCACAGCGCGACGAAAACACAAUAAUUAAAGUUCGACACGAGCAGAGAUGAUCUAAUGAAGGUUUAUCGACUAGGAGAGUUCCCAGAAUUCAUCUUUCCACUCGAACAGCUUGGCAGACAAAGUCCAAAGCUUGAAGGAAAAGAAAAGAAGAGAAAGGAGCACGGGCUAGAGGCACAGAAGAGGAACCAUAGUUGUUACGUAUGGAAGGAAACACGGAGGACAGUGUAGAAGAGUUAAGACAAAUGGGCUGUUGUCAGGCGGGUUUCUGAGAAGGGCAGUCUCCCGGACUGAUAAUUCAGAACUUCCUUCGGCAGUCAGACUCAUGACCUCAUCCUGAUUGGUCCACUGCGGGAAGUAGAUUAGGACGGUCAGUGGGUGGGAGAAUGCCCCUGGCCCUUCUAAAGGCUGAUAAUCAGGGUGAGUGGACAAAGCGAGGGGCGGGAGGACCACAGGACCAUAGGCCUGUGAGAAAGUGCUUUCUCAAUCCUGCGGGUUGCCUGAAGUGAGGCUUACUGGGUAAAGUACUUGUUUAGCAAAAAUUGAAGUCUCAAUUCCAUCUCUGUCAUCACAAAAGAACAAAACCUGUUCUGGUUACUUCCUGGAGAGAGGGCCUCUCGGGCUUUGUUUGAAAAGUCAUAGAAAGAAUUGGAACAUCCUAAGGAUUUUUGUUUAUAAAAGUUACAUGUAAGUAGCUGUCAAUAUUUAUCAAGAACUUAGAUUAAAAAUGUAAAAGAGGUGAAAUUUAAACUAUUCCUGUUGAGCAAUAGUAAUGAGUCUAUUACAUGUUAAUAUGGAGGUUAAUUAUAAUUUGGGCACACACCAAAGAACUUCUGUGCCCUGUUACACGGACCUAUCUUAUACCUUGAGUGCCUUUUAGUUCUUUGUUUUUUGAGGCAGAGUCUUACAUAGCCCAACUUGGCCUCCAAUGGCCUAUGUAGCCAAGGAUUACAUUAAACUUUUGAGCCUCU